RNAcentral lists this long non-coding RNA (216 nucleotides) under Lathyrus oleraceus (garden pea). Its description in RNAcentral is "Pisum sativum (pea) long non-coding RNA (PSAT_LNC011481)". Lineage: Eukaryota; Viridiplantae; Streptophyta; Magnoliopsida; Fabales; Fabaceae. The record is from RNAcentral.
AAAAAUAUUAAAUGAAGUCACAAAAAUAAUUAAAAAUCAAAAUCUGAAACUAGAUUUUUCAAGAAAAAAUUUGGCAUUGGUCUCAUAUUUUUAUGACUUCAAAUAAAAUAUUUAUGAAUUUUUUAAAAUAAAAUGAAUUAAAUGGAAUUAAAACAAAAAUAAUGAAAAUAGAAAGAAAAAAACAGUGACCUUAGAUGGUUCAUUAAUUGACGUGGC